This 468-nucleotide ribosomal RNA is filed under the name uncultured bacterium. RNAcentral describes it as "partial 16S ribosomal RNA". It matches the Rfam family "Bacterial small subunit ribosomal RNA", at positions 28 to 507 of the family's 1533-position model. The record is from RNAcentral.
GACGAACGCUGGCGGCGUGCUUAACACAUGCAAGUCGAACGGAAAGGCCCUGCUUUUGUGGGGUGCUCGAGUGGCGAACGGGUGAGUAACACGUGAGUAACCUGCCCUUGACUUUGGGAUAACUUCAGGAAACUGGGGCUAAUACCGGAUAGGAGCUCCUGCUGCAUGGUGGGGGUUGGAAAGUUUCGGCGGUUGGGGAUGGACUCGCGGCUUAUCAGCUUGUUGGUGGGGUAGUGGCUUACCAAGGCUUUGACGGGUAGCCGGCCUGAGAGGGUGACCGGCCACAUUGGGACUGAGAUACGGCCCAGACUCCUACGGGAGGCAGCGGUGGGGAAUAUUGCACAAUGGGCGGAAGCCUGAUGCAGCAACGCCGCGUGCGGGAUGACGGCCUUCGGGUUGUAAACCGCUUUCACCUGUGACGAAGCGUGAGUGACGGUAAUGGGUAAAGAAGCACCGGCUAACUACGUG